RNAcentral lists this long non-coding RNA (3075 nucleotides) under Oncorhynchus mykiss (rainbow trout). RNAcentral's name for it is "lncRNA (ENSOMYG00000053381.1)". The record is from RNAcentral. Lineage: Eukaryota; Metazoa; Chordata; Actinopteri; Salmoniformes; Salmonidae.
AUGGAGGAGCCUCUGAAGGCUCUUUUUGGGGUAACGGAAGAGAGCCUUCUGAUAUCCCUGGUUGAGGGUCACUCCAACCCCACCUCCUCCAGCUCCUCCGAGUUGAGCUGUGCUAUCGUGGGGGAGGUGGUACACCAGCUUAACUCUGGCCUCUCAGUGGCCAUUCAGGCCAGCCCGGGGAGUUGCCCCCCUAUGGACAGUCAGGACAUAGCAGCAGGCAAGGAGGUCAUUCGGGUAGCCUCGGUUCAGAUCCUGGCCGAGCUACAGAGCCAAACAUCUGAGCCAGAGUGGGUAGGGUUUAUCGAGCCCCUCAUGGACCCUGUGACCGAUGAUGUGCUGGAGGCCAUUGUCGGCACAAUGGACAAAAUGGCACAGGACUUCAACAUCCUAUUGGAUCUGGCCAAGAAGAUGACAAUCUUGGGGUCUAAAUUUCUGACCAAUCUUCAAUGUGACCUAGAUGUUGAGUGUCCAUCUGGGAAGGAAGGGACCACUCACUUUCUCAAAGAGACUGGAUCCUCUACCAGUGUGGUGGCCAGAAAGAUUCAGACCCUCUCUAGCCCCGACUUUCAGUCUAAAGCCCUGAAGGCGGUGAGCACCAUCCUUACAAGGAAAGUCAGCAGCUCUUCUGGCAUGGCUCCUUCCUCUAGGCCUUCUAGUGCUGCUCCUAGCCUUACUGAAGCCCCGCUGAAUACCAGCUGCACAGCCCUGACAUCUGUAACCUCCACUGCCACAGUGAUUGUUAAGGCAUUUGUGGGAGGCAUGGAGACGAUAGCAUCAUUUGAAGACACAUGUGAAGCAGUUGAUUGGCCAGUUCCUGUAAAUGACCACAAAACAGGGUCUUCACAGAAGAUAACCUUCUCUCUAGCCGGCACACUCUAUGGCCGUAUACGAGCAAAGCUGAGGGACCUUUUAACUCUAGCCGCUCGAGAAGAAGGUGUGUCAAAGGAUGCUUCUCUUCGGGAGUCUUCAGACACCCUGGAAAAGGCAACUGUUUCAACUGUUGAGGUCCAGUUACCCAGCACCGAACACAGUAGAGUUCCCAGAGAGAGCCAACCAAUACCAGCUCUCUGUCUCUCCAAUCUGGAUACCAGUACUCAAGAAGUUCUUAGCAGUGUUUUUUCCAUCUACAAGUCAGAGUUAUCAAAAGUGGAGAGUAAAUCCUUAGCCGUUGUCAGUUCAUCUGAUGAGUCCCUAGAGGCUUGUUGGUUUGUUGAUGGUGUCCUAUCAAAGCUUGAUGACUAUACUAUUUCCCAGUCACCCUCACCCAAUGAAGGCUUGAGCGUGAGUACUCAAUAUUCUCAACUGAGCUCAGAAGAGAGUGUCAGAAUCACAGAGUCCUCAACUAGUCUGAUUCAGAGCAUUAAGAAGCUCUCUAGCAAUGACUUUCAGACUCAGGCAGAAGAGGCAGUGAGUAAAGUGCUGAUGAGAUCCAGUCAUUCCUUUAUCACACAGAUCAGCCAUACUGGUCUUCAGAAAAGUCUGCAGGCUGGCUUAUCAUCUAGCUCACCAUCAGAGAUCCAUGUCCUUUCAGAAUCCAUGUCCUCCAUGUCCUCUGAGAAUACAGCCUCUGGAUUAGUGGAAACCUUUGUCAAAGGAAUGGCGACUAUUUUCCAGAAAAAUGAGUCCACUGACACUGUGCUACUGGAAAGAAGUGGGAGAGUUUCACAGUGCUCCCACGGGGGCUCCCAACUGGAUGAUACUGAAUUGAGUGUUAAAAUAUCAGAGGAGAAGCUUUGGUCAACAGCUAAGAACAUCUGCGUCAGUAUGAAGAACACACUUAAGGAUUUCUUCACAGGGCUGAAGCCAUCCGGAUCCGAAAGGACAGAAAUGGCUUCUUCCAAAGAGACCCUUGGGGAAAUCCUGGUUGCUAUCCAGAGUGAAAUCUCAAACUUCGGGCGAAUGAAGGAUUCCAGGGAGCUCCUUCAGAUCAAUGAUAUGGUAGGAACUAUGCUGAAGGAGAUUGAGAAAAGUGAGGAUGACAGUGAACAAGUCUGCCAAGACAUCCCUCGAACCUGUUCAUCUUUAUCCACUUCUUUAAAUGGUCGUAGUUCCUUGUCCAGCUCUUCAAAGGGUCCUAGGUCAGAGUGUGAGUUAGAGAUCAACCUCCCUGGCACUCCCAUCCCUGACGAAGUGCCUUUUGAUCUGACCUGCCCCAUCGUCAGGAGCUCCUGCAUCGACACCAGGGACUCUAAAAUGCCAGAGAUUUCUACAAGUGACCUAAAGACAAAGAUGAUGGCACACACAGAUGAACCCCUGCAUCGUAACAGUCCAAUGACUGACAGCAGCCGACCACCGAGUGCUAAAGUCUCUUUUCGAUCCUCCACUCUGUCUUUCACCAGCAAGGGAACCUUUUUGGUACCAAAGGGAGAGGGGAUUGACAUUGAAGAGAAGGAGGUGUGUAUCCCUAGCAGCUCUGGCCAUCUGAGGGAGCUCUUAAUCAUCCCGGACAUCAGCAGUGCCACUGCAUUCCCACUGCAGUACUUGAUGGAUUCCAGCAAAGAUGAUGGCAUCUGUUUUGUCACCAUACUGGUGAUAAGGUUGCUAUCGGAGAUCAGACCCUCAGCCCUAGAUGGACCCUCCCAACAGGCAGCAGAUCUGACAGAAACAUCUCAGCAACUCAUCAGACAAGUCCUGUCUGAGUUCUGUGCUGCAUCCAGAUUAUCCAGGACACAGGCAUAUUCCCAGAACCUGAACAUCCAAAGGGUGUUCAGAGGUGUACAUAAAAACCUCAUGGAGGAGUUUGGCUCUUAUAACACCCUGCAAGCAGCUAUUUCCUCCCAGGACCCUGCAUUUGACAGAGUCCUGGUAAAGUCCUUGACCCAGCAGCUGGUACAGGGAUGCAAGGAGGCGUCAAGACCAAACCCAUCAGACCAGGCUGAGACAGAGAGGGGGGCUGAGCAGAAAGCAAGAAGGAGCUUCCUUUGCUUUUCAAUGACCAAACUCAGGAUCAACUUCAAGCGUUCCAAGAGAGGAAACAAAAAGGACUGCCAUUCAGUCCAGGACCAGACUGAGAUUCCCUCUACUGAUGGACAUUGCAUAGGUAAGGAUGUUUUAGAGCUCUGCUAUAGCUUGUAG